GAUGAACGCUGGCGGCAGGCUUAACACAUGCAAGUCGAGCGGGGUGAUGGUGCUUGCACUAUCACUUAGCGGCGGACGGGUGAGUAAUGCUUAGGAAUCUGCCUAUUAGUGGGGGACAACAUCUCGAAAGGGAUGCUAAUACCGCAUACGUCCUACGGGAGAAAGCAGGGGAUCACUUGUGACCUUGCGCUAAUAGAUGAGCCUAAGUCGGAUUAGCUAGUUGGUGGGGUAAAGGCCUACCAAGGCGACGAUCUGUAGCGGGUCUGAGAGGAUGAUCCGCCACACUGGGACUGAGACACGGCCCAGACUCCUACGGGAGGCAGCAGUGGGGAAUAUUGGACAAUGGGGGGAACCCUGAUCCAGCCAUGCCGCGUGUGUGAAGAAGGUCUUCGGAUUGUAAAGCACUUUAAGUCGGGAGGAAGGGCUGUAGGUUAAUACCCUGCGGUUUUGACGUUACCGACAGAAUAAGCACCGGCUAACUUCGUGCCAGCCGCCGCGGUAA
This 502-nucleotide ribosomal RNA is filed under the name uncultured bacterium. RNAcentral describes it as "partial 16S ribosomal RNA". It matches the Rfam family "Bacterial small subunit ribosomal RNA", at positions 28 to 523 of the family's 1533-position model. The record is from RNAcentral.